GACGCUUCUUCAACAACAGCUAGUCAAGCCUCCUCGGUAACUUGCUAGCCAACAUAGCCUAAACAUUACAGCUCUUUAGACACUUUCUGUGUAUAUUAGCCUCUGUGUUUCAAGCAAACAUGUUGUAUAGCUAGUUGCCGCAUUUAAUUUAAUUGUACGUUGCUAGUCAGCUAGCUGGCUUGCUAAAUUAGCGCAGCACUAUUGCUAACUAGCUAGCUAAUAUCCGACCAUGAACUCACUAAACUACUCCUCCCCUGCUAAACAAAAGGUGGUCGGAUGGACGGAGAAAGAAGCUCUCGUGAAAGAGGAGAAGGAAGAGGAGGCUGUUACAGUGAAACAAGUAGAGGAUGAGACUGUUACAUUGAAAGAAGUUACAGUGAAAAAAGAGGAAGAAGCUUUCAGAGUGAAAGAAGAGGAUGUUACUGAAGAAGAAAAGGAAGAGGACAUGUUUGGAUUGAAGGAGGAGGGGGAGAUUACUGUCACAUUGGAGGAGGAGACAGGAGAUCUGAUUAACACCAAAGAGAGACCAGGCUCAGAGGAACCGGAGACGUCUGAACCAGCGAGACUACACCACUGUUCCCAGUGUGGAAAGAGUUAUACCCGAGUAUGGAAUCUGAGAAAGCAUGAGAUGACACACACGGGGGAGAAGCUUUUCCAAUGCUCCUAGUGUGAAAAUAGAUUUUCCCUAUCAAGGAACCUGAAAUCACAUGAGAGAACGCACACAGGGGAAAAGCCUUAUCACUGCUCUCAGUGUGGAAAGAGUUUUACACGGUUAGGGAGCCUAAAAAUACAUGAGAGAAUACACACAGGAGACAAGCCUUACCAAUGCUUCCAGUGUGGAAAGAGAUUUAUCCAGUCAACACACCUGAACGAGCAUAAGAGAACACACACAGGAGAAAAGCCAUUCCAAUGUUCUCAGUGUGGAAAGACAUUUUCACGAUCAGGGGACCUUAAAUCUCAUGAGAGAACACACACAGGGGAAAAGCCUUAUCACUGCUCCCAUUGUAAAAGUAGUUUUAGCUGGUUAGGGCAACUGAACGAGCAUGAGAGAACACACACAGGAGUGAAGCCUUACCACUGUUCCCAGUGUGAAAAGAGUUUUACACGGUUGGGGUCCCUUAAAUCACAUAUGAUAUACACACACACAGGAGAUAAGCCCUAUCAUUGCUCCCAGUGUAAAAAUACGUAUUCAUCAUUAGGGGACAUGAAAAAGCAUGAGAGAAUACACUCUGUAGAGAGGCCUUUCCACUGCUCUCAGUGUGGAAAGGCAUUCAUCCAGUCAUGGCAUCUGGAAGCACAUAAAAUAAUACACGCAAGAGAGAAGCCAUUCCAAUGCUUGCAGUGUGGAAAGAGUUAUACCCGGUUAGGGAAUUUGAAAACGCAUGAGAUGACACACACAGGAGAGAAGCCUUUCCAAUGCCGUCAGUGUGGAAGUCGUUUUACCAGAUUAGGGAACCUGAAAACACAUGAGGUGACACAUAAAGGACGGUAGCCUGACCUCUGCUCCCAGUGUGAAAAGGGUUUUGUUCAGUUAAGGGUCUUGGAAGAGCAUGACAAAAUACAUACACAGGAGAAGACAUACCACUGAAAUCACGAGAGAAAAUUGCGAAAUGUAGAUUUCUGCCUAAAUAGAAGUAACUGCUAUUCAUGUGUAAUUACAUGAUUCUGACAUGCCAAAACUUGGUAUAUUUGGAAAGAAGACAUCUGGGUGAUUAUGAAGAAAUUAUUAGAAGAUAGAUAGGAGUUACAUAGUUCAGAAUGCAAAAGAUCAAGCACACACAAAAUGUUUUUUUUUGUUUUUGUUUUGGCCCCUGUACAAAAGGUAAGAUCCAUGGCCAUCUUGCGAAAGGAUGACACGCAAAUCCGUGAAGCGCUCCUCAUUUUCCUCACACGUCGAGAAACUGGAACCAAACAGAGAAGAUUGACCGGAGGAAUAAAUUGGGAUGACACGCAAAUCCGUGAAGCGCUCCUCAUUUUCCUCACACGUCGAGAAACUGGAACCAAACAGAGAAGAUUGACCGGAGGAAUAAAUUGCCCAUCCCAUUCUUCUCAGUCUAAGGAGGAGGGGAAUUGCUGGCUGAGAGAAGCUCGGUCUACAGUAGAAUGAAGCGUUCCUUAUUUUGAAUUGGGGAGUGAGACAAGGUUGCAGUCUGAGACCAACUUUAUUCAACAUUUUGAAAAUGAAUUGGGGAGUUAGGCACGGUUGCAGGCUGAGUUCAACUUUAUUCAAAGUUUAGAAAUGAAUUGGCGAGUGAGACAAGGUUGCACUCUGAGUCCAACUUUAUUCAAUGUAUACAAAUGAAUUGGAGAGAGAGACAGGGUUUAAAACUUCUUCAGGCUGCAGGGUGAAUAUUGAAAAAACUGGAAAAUAUGUGCACAUUUUCAAACGGCCUCUUAAGAAAUUUUUGAUUUUACAAUAUGCAUAUAUUUACUACUGUUGGAUAGAUAACAGUCUAUAGUUUCUAAAAACGUUUGAAUUAUUUCUCUAAGUGGAACAGUUCUAUUUUUACAGCCAUUUUCCCAGCCGAAUUGAGAUUUCCAAAAUGCGAUGUGUCUCUUUAAGACCUUGUCUAUACAAGGUCAUGACACUUAGGACCGUAGAAACACGUCAUACGCCUUCAUCUGGGUGUAAUGCGGAAGUGAGAGUUGAAAGCAGUCGAAUAUCUCUUCCAUGGACUGAAUACCACAUCUUCUUGUGAGACCUGCGCAGUUAAAAAAAAUUCCGGGCGCGAGGCAGAAUCUGGACUCGGCUCAUGCAAGACGCUCGUUUAAGGUGAAUAUGACCUCUAGAUACGAUAUUAUUUGAUACAUGUCACAAAAUCAUCCUAAAGUAUGUUUUUUCAAUAUACUUUAAUUAUAUUAUUGCAAUUUAUUCUGGACUUUAGACGUGAUGCUUUGGAAGAAUUUUUUGAAGACAGAAAGAUUAGCGCCGCACGACCGUUGUGCUUGCUAACCAAAGAGGGAAAUAUUUCGUUCUGGAACCCAACUAAAGACUGUACUGGACAUUGGACCCCGUUACAACAUUCUGAUGGAAUAUCAACAAAGAUAAGGACCCAAUUUGGGAUGCUUUUUCAUAUAUCUGUCGAACUGUGCUAUGCUAACUGUGCUAUGCUAGCGCUUGACUAGAAUCAAUGCUGCCGUAUGCUAGCUUAUGUUGUUAGCUAAUAUAACGAUAUAUUGUGUUUUCGCUGUAAAACACUUCAAAAAUCGGAAAUAUUGGCUCUAUUCACACGAUAUUUGUCUUUCAUUAGCUAUCCACCAUAUGUUUUUCUGAAAUGUUUUAUGAGGUGUAAUUAGUAGUUGACGUUGGUGUCUGUAUUUUCUCUGGCUACUCCCGUCUGAUUUCAGACUGUAGCUAUGCUGUAGCAAUGAUGGGAGCAGUACUGUAAAACUGAUUUAUAGCUAAAAUAUGCACAUUUUAUGAACAAAACAUAGAUUUAUUGUGUAACAUGUUAUAGGACUGUCAUCUGAGGUAGUUUUUUUUAGGUUCUUUAGGUUGGUUUUAGGUUAUUUCGGUUGGCUUGUGCAUGCUACUUGAAUCAUAAUUCAUACAUCAUAAUCAUAAUCAUACGUGUCUGUCCACUUUUGUAUUUGGUGGUGAGCUAACAUAAAUAUAUGUGGUGUUUUCUCUGUAAAACAUUUAAAAAAUCGGACAUGUUGGCUGGAUUCACAAGAUGUUUAUCUUUCAAAUGCUGUAUUGGACUUGUUAAUGUGUGAAAGUUAAAUAUUUUUAAAAAAUAGAUUUUGAAUUUCGCGCCCUGCAGCUGUUGUCAUUUUCGUUCCGACGUCGGGCUUGCAGCCCAAACAGGUUAAAUUUUAGUCCAGCUGUAUUAAACAUAACAAACUUGAAUGUCACAACAUUUAAACAGACAUCAAAGUCAGACUCAGACUCUCUCUCUCUCCCUCUACUAAUUGGGGAGUUAGUUAUACGUAUCUUUGGCCAGGCCAUGUUGCAGAAAACGGGGGAAGGGUGGGAAGUGGUCGGGGCAGGGGAACAAAGACUUGGGGAGGAGCAACUAAAAGCAGCAGGUGAGGGGUUAGAGACCAAGAGCCCUGUGAAUCAUAAAAGGCUUCGUUUUUAACCUGUUAAAGCUGGGGGCGCUGUUGUCACUAUUUAUGGUAAUCGUGUAAUUUUUGAAACGGCUUCCUACAAAAUUCUUGAUCGUACAAUAUGCAUAUUAUUAUUAUUGGAUAGAAAACAGUCUAUAGUUUCUAUAGGAGUUGAAAUUUUGUCUCUAAGUGGAACAGAACCCAUUCUACAGCAAUUUCCCUGACAUGGAGUCAGAUUUCAGAAAUGUUGGCCACUGUUCUGGAGUCCGUUUUAAAGCCAAUGUUAUUCCUAUGAGUAUACGGACACUGCUUACGUCUUCCCCUGGAUGCCUUUACGUGAUGACGAUUUGAAUGGGGUCGAUUGCGCAAUCACAGGCACUAUAAAUUAAAAAACCCUGUAGCUAGUAACUCUUUUGCAGCUGCGUCAUGCGCGUGGAGGACACCGACCCGCACCUGUUCCAAGCAUUAGUGUUGGGAGUAAUCUUUCUCCGGUCAUGUUAAGACUCGUUAUAGGAGUUAAAAACAUCAUAAGGUAGUUAAUUUAAAGCGUUUUAUAGCAAUUUAUAUCCGUUUAGUGCGAUUUUGGGACAUUUAUUUCUGAGACGCUGUGAAUCUCUGGGCACGCUUCCAGUUCAUCCCGAACGCAGUUGGCAUUUCCACAUGGCAAGAGGACAGCUUUCCACCAAAAGACGAUUAGACCCAAGAAAGGAUCCUUUGCCCAAGAUACUGAUGGAAGAACAGCUCAAAGUAGGACAUUUUUAUUAUGAUAAAUCGUGUUUCUGUCGAAAAAUGUUAGUGGCUUAGGACGCCAUGUUUUUUGACGUAGCUUCGCUUGGCGCAAACUGUAUUGAAAAGUAAGGAUAAUUUAAAAAAUGUAAUUCCGCGAUUGUAUUAAGAAUUAAAUUGUCUAUCAAUCGCUGUCCACCCUAUAUUUUUUAGUCACGUUUAUGAGUAUUUAUGUAUACGAGUAGAUCACUGUCUAAUAUGGCGCACGGACAUUUUCUCACCAGCUGGGCUACAUUUCUCAUUGUCUAACCAUGAUUUUGGUGGCUAAAUAUGCACAUUUUCGAACAAACUGUAUAUGUAUGUUGUAAUGUGAUGUUACAGGGGUGUCAUCUGAAGAAUUCUGAGAAGGUUAGUGAAAAAAAUAAUAUAUUUUGGCGAUGUUUACGUUAUCGCUCUCUUUGGCUAGAAUCAAUGCUGGGGUAAUGUUUGCACAUGUGCUAUGCUAAUAUAACGAUUUAUUGUGUUUUCGCUGUAAGACACUUAGAAAAUCUGAAAUAUUGUCUGUAUUCACAGGAUCUGUGUCUUUCGAUUAGUGUAUGCUGUGUAUUUUUACGAAAUGUUUGAUGAUUAGUAGUUAGGUAAACACGUUGCUCAUUGUAAUUAUUCUAGUCAAUUUGUGACGGUGGGUGCAAUUGUAAACUAUGCCAGCUACCUGAAAUAUGCACAUUUUUCUAACAAAACCUAUCCCAUACCAUAAAUAUGUUAUCAGACUGUCAUCUGAUGAGUUUUUUUCUUGGUUAGGGGCUAUAAAUAUCUUAGUUUAGCCGAAUUGGUGAUAGCUACUGGUGUUGGUGGACAAAUAAAAGAUGGUGGAUUAUGCUAAUGUGUUUUUAGGUAAUAGAUUUACAUCUUUACAUAUUGUGUCUUCCCUGUAAAACAUUUUAAAAAUCGGACAUGUUGGCUGGAUUCACAAGAUCUGUGGCUUUCAUUAGCUGUAUUGGACUUUAAUGUGUGAAAGUUAAAUAUUUAAAAAAAAUAUUUUUUUUGAAUUUCGCGCUCUGCCUUUUCAGUGGAAUGUGGGGGGGGUGUGCCGCUAGCGGCACCCUCAUCCUAGACAGGUUAAACUACAUUUUAGUCUGAGAUCAUUCUUUAAAAAAUCAAAAGUCAAUUCUAUUUCAAGUUCUACAUCGACAAAUAAAGUUUAAACAUCA
Molecule: long non-coding RNA, 5987 nt
Organism: Salvelinus fontinalis (brook trout)
Lineage: Eukaryota; Metazoa; Chordata; Actinopteri; Salmoniformes; Salmonidae
Exons: 2
Source: RefSeq, a predicted model, not a curated record